Molecule: long non-coding RNA, 1329 nt
Organism: Nicotiana attenuata
Lineage: Eukaryota; Viridiplantae; Streptophyta; Magnoliopsida; Solanales; Solanaceae
Exons: 2
Source: RefSeq, a predicted model, not a curated record
ACUGCUGAAAGUGCUGGGAUGCUAUACUGUUUGGUGCUUGUUAUUAUUAUUGUAAGAGUUCUACUGGAAUGUGCUUGCAAAGCUGCUUGCCUGAUCUCUAAUUACUGCUUUUCUAAAUACAUAUCAGUUGUGUUCUAUUCUGAUCCAAUUUGUCUUCUUUACUCUUUUGAAUCUUUGGCUUAAUACUCCUUACUAGACCUUCCAAUAUUUUCUUCUCAUGCAGGAGCAAGCUUAGUUUCCUCGGGGAAACAGGAUAAUUUGCAAGUUUAGAAUAAUGAUAAAUCCUAGUCGCACUAGUAUCACAAUCUGAUUCUGAUGAAUCAGAACAUUGCAUAUUGAGGCAACCUAGUUUGAACUCUCCUUGAGCCACAUCUACUUCAUCUUCUGAAUCUAGCUGCAGAAUUGAACUAAUAAAUCAUAAUACUACUCUAACUAGUCAAAGAAGGAAGAGUAAAGAGAUUUAGAUGAUGUGAUAACAAGUUAAACAGCAGUAAGUCUCAAAAUCUAGUUAACAUAGACACCACAUUUAAGUAUGAAGUUUAUGCUCUUCUAUUAUGUAGACCUGCAUGAGUUGUGGGUUUUAAAGGGGUUGGUUUUCUUGGUGUUUUAACAGUAUGCAUAUCAGUUUUGAGCAUUUGCUUUUGUUGCUCUAUCUUCUUAAUUAAAUAAUUUUUGUGUUAAAAAGGGUCGAGAUCCAACACCAAGUGAGUUGCAUUUGCACGUCCAUACACAUGGUAUUGAUGAAAAAUCUUUUGUUGCUGACAAAUUCCAAAUCGUACAUGAGAUAUUACAACAACAAACACAAAUUCAAUCUGAUAUUGAUCAGUGUAAAGCAUAUUAUCAAACAGUUGGAGGAGAAAAGAAAAGAAGAUUAUAUGGUCUUUGAUCUCAAGCAAAAUGCUACUACGGGCCAAAUCUUCGUGGCUCUUUUGGAUCUGAUGCUACAUCGUCAGCAACACCUCCAAAUGCCCAAUCAACACCGACAGGGAAUCUGGAUGAGUUAGUGAUGCGAUUGAUUCCUGCACUGACAGAUGAUAUAGUUCCUGUAAUCGUUGAGCGGGUACGCGAAUUAGUUUCCUUACCCUCGCAUCAGCCAAAUACUGAUCUUACCAACCACCCAUUAGAUGUGGCAUCUACAGUUCCUACAUCUUCUAACGCUGCUAACAUUGAUGAGGUUCAUACAUUGGGUUCUGAUGAUGACCGUAACUCUCCAGGCUCGCAUAGUUAGCCUACUUUGUUUCGACUUUAUUGUUGGUCCUUGUAGAUUUUUUGUACUUAACGAUACUGUUAUAUGCAUUAUGCUAUAUAUUUUGGACCUUGUUGAAUAUA